AGCUUAGACGGUAAAGCAUCCGCCUGCAAUGUGGGAGACCUGGGUUCGAUUCCUUG
RNAcentral lists this transfer RNA (56 nucleotides) under Bos taurus (domestic cattle). It matches the Rfam family "tRNA", at positions 9 to 63 of the family's 71-position model. Rfam says of the family: Transfer RNA (tRNA) molecules are approximately 80 nucleotides in length. Their secondary structure includes four short double-helical elements and three loops (D, anti-codon, and T loops). The record is from Rfam by way of RNAcentral. RNAcentral also lists the same sequence under 4 other names. Lineage: Eukaryota; Metazoa; Chordata; Mammalia; Artiodactyla; Bovidae.